UUAUAGUAAAUGACUACUUAACUACUUAUAUUAAAUUACUAUUUAAUAUUAAAUGAAUAUUAAAUUAAG
Molecule: transfer RNA, 69 nt
Filed under: Coix lacryma-jobi (Job's tears)
Lineage: Eukaryota; Viridiplantae; Streptophyta; Magnoliopsida; Poales; Poaceae
Also listed under: 3 other names
Description: tRNA-Gly
Source: RNAcentral